This is a long non-coding RNA of Episyrphus balteatus (marmalade hoverfly), 286 nucleotides long. RefSeq lists it as uncharacterized. The record is from RefSeq and is a predicted model, not a curated record. NCBI's taxonomy places the organism in Eukaryota, Metazoa, Arthropoda, Insecta, Diptera, Syrphidae. The transcript is spliced from 2 exons.
UUUGAAUUUAUAAAAUAUUUUGUUCGUUUCGUCAGAGAAAAAUGCAAGAAGCUUCUGGAUUGAGGUAGAAAUUAGAAAAGAACUUUCUUUGAAUCUUCACGUGAAUAUUGAAAAGGAAAGGCGCAACAUGUAAAUAAAAAAAAAAUUGUUGUUUUUCGAGAGGUGCAAAGGAAAAUCGAGAAAAUUUUUUGGUUUGUUAUUGUGCACUGAAUGCAAUCAUUGGAAAGAAAUGUCAAUAAAAUUUAAUGAAGUUGGUAGAGGUUUAUUGAAAAUAGGGGAAAAGAAG